UAUUUGUAUAGCUUAUUUAGAGCAUGGUUUUGAAGCAGCCAAGGUAAUUUAUUUUUGCAAAU
RNAcentral lists this transfer RNA (62 nucleotides) under Cassidinae sp. ACP-2018. RNAcentral's name for it is "tRNA-Phe". The record is from RNAcentral. Lineage: Eukaryota; Metazoa; Arthropoda; Insecta; Coleoptera; Chrysomelidae.